GUAAAUAUAUGGAAGUAACGAAAGAUGGAGAAGGGUGAUGAUGGUAGAAAAAUGGAAAAGAAAAGCACGUGGAAUGCUACACAUGAUGAAAACUAGAGGUUAAAUCAAUUUUAAAUUGUUUCCAUUCUCCAGUUUUUAUUUCAUUCAUUCUUCUUCAUUUCUCGAAAAAUAAAAAUAAAAAUAUCCUUAAUUUCUUCAUACCGUCCUCCCUCCAUAAUAAUUCAUCCCUUUGUCCAACAUGUAUUGUCCUUAUAUUUCUAACAAAAAUAAAAACGAAAAACAAAAAAGGUUACCUAAAGGACUGUUAAUUUUCACAUUUCAGAUGAAAUGUUUGUGUGCUCUUCUGUUUUUGGUGUUAUGAAUUUUCAAUCGCAUGGGCUUUUCUGUUUUAAGGGUUUUAUGCUGUGGGCUUCUUUACUGUUUGUAACUGGGCCUUAUGUGAAUGAAUUGUAUGAUUCUCUUUCAGCCUAUGAUUGCCCUUUGGGCUACUUACUGAAGCCACCUUUCACUUGGCAAAAGAAAAAUAAACAAACGCACGCUUUUUAUUUUAUUUUUUUAAGGGAAAGGGGUUGUUUCUACAACUACCAAGAGGUGUUAUGGGUUCGAAUUUGAGAUCAAACAAAUGUUUUUUUUACUGGAAA
This 641-nucleotide long non-coding RNA is filed under the name Prunus dulcis (almond). RNAcentral's name for it is "sRNA ncRNA". The record is from RNAcentral. Lineage: Eukaryota; Viridiplantae; Streptophyta; Magnoliopsida; Rosales; Rosaceae.